AACGAACGCUGGCGGCAUGCCUAACACAUGCCAGUCGAACGAUCCCUUCGGGGAUAGUGGCGCACGGGUGCGUAACGCGUGGGAACCUGCCCUUAGGUUCGGAAUAACUCAGAGAAAUUUGAGCUAAUACCGGAUAAUGUCUUCGGACCAAAGAUUUAUCGCCUUUGGAUGGGCCCGCGUUGGAUUAGCUAGUUGGUGGGGUAAAGGCCUACCAAGGCGACGAUCCAUAGCUGGUCUGAGAGGAUGAUCAGCCACACUGGGACUGAGACACGGCCCAGACUCCUUCGGGAGGCAGGAGUGGGGAAUAUUUGACCAUUGGCCAAAGGCUGAACCAGGAAAUCCCGGGGAAGGAUGAAGGCCUUUGGGUUGGUAAGCCUAUUUACCCGGGAUGAUAAUGACAGUACCGGGAGAAUAAGCCCCGGCUAACUCCGUG
This 433-nucleotide ribosomal RNA is filed under the name uncultured bacterium. RNAcentral describes it as "partial 16S ribosomal RNA". It matches the Rfam family "Bacterial small subunit ribosomal RNA", at positions 29 to 507 of the family's 1533-position model. The record is from RNAcentral.